Molecule: ribosomal RNA, 433 nt
Filed under: uncultured bacterium
Lineage: Bacteria
Description: partial 16S ribosomal RNA
Rfam family: Bacterial small subunit ribosomal RNA
Source: RNAcentral
AACGAACGCUGGCGGCAUGCCUAACACAUGCAAGUCGAACGAGACCUUCGGGUCUAGUGGCGCACGGGUGCGUAACGCGUGGGAACCUGCCCUUAGGUUCGGAAUAACUCCCCGAAAGGGGUGCUAAUACCGGAUAAUGUCUUCGGACCAAAGAGUUAUCGCCUUUGGAUGGGCCCGCGUUGGAUUAGCUAGUUGGUAGGGUAAAAGCCUACCAAGGCGACGUUGCAUAGCUGGUCUGAGAGGAUGACAAGCUACACUGGGACUGAGACACGGCCCAGACUCGUACGGGAGGCAGCAGUGGGGAAUAUUGGACAAUGGGCGAAAGCCUGAUAAAGCAAUGCCGGGUGAGUGAUGAAGGCCUUAGGGUUGUAAAGCUCUUUGACACGGGAUGAUAAUGACAGUACCGGGAGAAUAAGCUCCGGCUAACUACGUG